This 675-nucleotide ribosomal RNA is filed under the name Triticum aestivum (bread wheat). RNAcentral describes it as "partial small subunit ribosomal RNA". Lineage: Eukaryota; Viridiplantae; Streptophyta; Magnoliopsida; Poales; Poaceae. The record is from RNAcentral.
AUGGCGGCGAUAGGCGGCCACCCUUACUGGCCAAGUGACCUGGAGCUCCCCGGUUUCGUGCCACAGCAGCUUUCACCUCUCCAACUCGUGGUGCCCCUCAUAGGCACUUCCCUCUUGGUCAUCGCGGUGGUCUGGCUUGUCUCCGGCCAUGUCCUCAGUACUGCGAGAUCCGGCAAAUUAUCCAAGGCCGACCGUUUGCUCAUGUGCUGGUGGGCAAUCACUGGGUUGACGCACCUAAUCAUUGAAGCAUCCUUGCUCUUCACCCCCAAUUACCUUACCAAGGAAAAUCCCAGUUUUUUUGAUGAAAUAUGGAAAGAGUACAGCAAGGCUGACUCCAGACAUGCCACCGGGGACACCACAACCACCGCGGUCGAAGUCAUUGCGGUUUUUCUACAAGGCCCUUUAUCACUUCUUGCUGUUUACGCUAUUGCUUCCAGAAAGUCCUACAACUACAUUCUACAGUUUAGUGUAUCUAUGAGCCACCUCUACUCAAUGUUGAUUUUCUACAUUACCGCCUACUUAGACGGCAUGAACUUCUGCGCCAGUCCAUUCUACUUCUGGACAUAUUUUGUUGGUGCAAACUCCCCAUGGGUUGUGAUUCCAACGCUGAUAGCAAUAAGGAGCUGGAAGUUGAUAAGCCAGGCAUCUCAGUCUUGCAAGGUGAAUCAAGACUAA